This 425-nucleotide ribosomal RNA is filed under the name uncultured bacterium. RNAcentral describes it as "partial 16S ribosomal RNA". It matches the Rfam family "Bacterial small subunit ribosomal RNA", at positions 354 to 796 of the family's 1533-position model. The record is from RNAcentral.
GUGGGGAAUAUUGGACAAUGGGCGAAAGCCUGAUCCAGCAAUGCCGCGUGAGUGAUGAAGGCCCUAGGGUUGUAAAGCUCUUUUACCCGGGAUGAUAAUGACAGUACCGGGAGAAUAAGCUCCGGCUAACUUCGUGCCAGCAGCCGCGGUAAUACGAGGGGAGCUAGCGUUGUUCGGAAUUACUGGGCGUAAAGCGCGCGUAGGCGGUUUUUUAAGUCAGAGGUGAAAGCCCGGGGCUCAACCCCGGAAUAGCCUUUGAAACUGGAAAACUAGAAUCUUGGAGAGGUCAGUGGAAUUCCGAGUGUAGAGGUGAAAUUCGUAGAUAUUCGGAAGAACACCAGUGGCGAAGGCGACUGACUGGACAAGUAUUGACGCUGAGGUGCGAAAGCGUGGGGAGCAAACAGGAUUAGAAACCCGAGUAGUCC